This 269-nucleotide long non-coding RNA is filed under the name Homo sapiens (human). RNAcentral's name for it is "HSALNT0031715". Lineage: Eukaryota; Metazoa; Chordata; Mammalia; Primates; Hominidae. The record is from RNAcentral.
ACAGGGUUUCACCAUCUUAGCCAGGAUGGUCUCGAUCUCCUGACCUCGUGAUCCCCCAUCCUCGGUCUCCCAAAGUGCUGGGAUUACAGGCAUGAACCACCAUGCCCGGCCCAAUUUGGUUUAAUGAGUUAAUCUCACUUGGUGAAUAUGAAAAGGCAGCUUGUUAUGCAGCAAACAGUCCUAGAAGAAUUCUUCGAAACAUUGGUACAAUGAAUACAUUUAAGGUUGAGACAGGGUUUCCCAUGUUGGCCAGACUGGUUUCAAACUCC